UUAUCUGCCGGUUCUAAUUCCUUCGAGAUCCCUCUCUUGAUCGCCUCCGGUCCUCCUCCGGAACUAGCCCGACCUGCUGAAGCCGCCCUCCCUCGUCGGACCACCGCCGAAGCAGCACACCAGUGCUGCCGCCCACUCCGCCCUCUUCCUGUUCCUCCGUUCCCUGUUAAGCAUCGGAGACAGUCAUGGAGCAGUAGGCAAUAGGCGUAGGCGGCGCGACUUGGAUGGGAGCGGAUGUGGCGGAGUGCGAGGAGGAGCGCGUCUUCCCCGUGGCCGCGCCCCAGUAGAGGAGCACAGGGAAGGCCGCGCGCGGGCGCCAGGAGCCGGAGGAGGUCCGGAGCCUGCACGCUGCGGCCGGGCAAUGCCUCGAGGAGUGCGUUGGUGGUGCUCCGCUCAUCCUCCCCUCCUCCUUCGCGGCGGCAGGAAUGAGCUGGCAGCGUGCAUUUGGGCCUGGAUUAGGAUGGGAGGUCGGGGAGGCGGGAUCGGAAUCGGAGCCUGCGGAGGAGCAGGUAGUGUGGCGCCUGGCCGCACCUGGCCCGCACACGCGCUGCUGGCCGGAAUCGCCAUGGAGUUGGUCAGUCGAUCUCUGUUCUUGAAUCAGUCGGGCUUCCCUCUUCCUCUUCCUCCCUUCCCAGCCUCAUCUAUUGGUGGAGAAGCUGCACGUUCACGCGUCCAUAUGGAUGACGCCCAGCCGCCCACCAAUUGCUCAAGGCAAGGUGUUGCCUAGACAACGUUUCCAGGAGUUGCUGCUGAAUAGCACUUGCAGAGCUAAUUUAGCAAUUGAUUUACACAGACAACCAAUAUUUACUGCAGCUCCAGCAAAUAACCUGUUAAUCCAUAUAUUCAAAUAUUUCAAGUUUUGAUGUUCAUGUAUCGUGAAUUUAUGACUAAUGGUAAAAUAUGCAGACUGCAAAUCCAUAGCAUCUGUAUCUUAUCUUAUAUUCUAACCUUGAAUCAAAUUUGAUUCUUCAAUUUAUUUAUAACUGAGAUGUUACAAAUAAAUUGGUCUGUGUUAAUUGCAGAACAACGUGUGCACAAACCCAUAAUAUACUCUUACAGGUAAGUCGAUCUCCAUUCCUUGAAUCUCACUACUACUUAUUCUAACAAAAUCUUACCAUGUAUUUUCAGGAACUAGCACCAGGAAGUGAUCCCAAAUAAUUAAAGAUCAGGAGCAAUAAAAAAGUUGGACAACCGUGAGCAACAGGAGAGGAAGAAGCUAAAAAACUAAAGAAUGAUCAAAGGAUGUCCAGAUUCAGCACCCAAUUUGUGGUUUUGCUCUAUUGGUGUAGUGGUUGCACGACACCCAAGCAUACCAGUCUCAUCCAGUAGAUCCAGAGCAUACUUCCGUUAGGAAGAUCCGGACUUCGUUGUUGAAGAUGUCGAGUAGAUGUUGCGUCCGCACCCAAUUUUGCCUGUGGUGUCGGCCCUCUGCAAGGUGCUUCUGCUGGCGCGAUACUCUGAGCCCGAGCUAGAUCCCAUGUGGGUCGUGCUUUGGUGUAUUACCGUAGCCUUUUUACUUCUUAUUAUCGUUUGUAUCGAGUGUCCGCCUCCUCGGAGGUUUGUACGGUGAUGUACCAUCUGAUGUAAUAAAUGUGUAUCAGCCUCCUGGGACUGAUAUUUGUAUCACAUUUAAGUUACCUCUUAUGAGGGGACGCUUCAUGAGUGAACCGCAUCAACAACAGAGUUACUCGAGGAUGUUGUUUCUUGAUUGUUCAAUUGAGAAUCCUUCCUGAUUUCCUUCCA
This is a long non-coding RNA of Panicum virgatum (switchgrass), 1743 nucleotides long. RefSeq lists it as uncharacterized. The transcript has 4 exons. The record is from RefSeq and is a predicted model, not a curated record. Lineage: Eukaryota; Viridiplantae; Streptophyta; Magnoliopsida; Poales; Poaceae.